AAUGAACGCUGGCGGCGUGCUUAACACAUGCUAGUCGAACGAUCUUGUUUCUUUCGGGGAGCAAGGGAGUGGCAGACGGGUGAGUAACACGUGGGCAACCUACCCUUGAGUGAGGAAUACCGUUUCGAAAGGAACGUUAAUACCGCAUAACACUACGAGAACCUCGGUUCUUGUGCUCAAAGCUGGGGCUCCUGGAAACGGGACCUGGCGCUUAAGGAGGGGCUCGCGUCAGAUUAGCUAGUUGGUGGGGUAAAGGCCUACCAAGGCAAUGAUCUGUAGCCGGCCUGAGAGGGUGAUCGGCCACACUGGAACUGAGACACGGUCCAG
Molecule: ribosomal RNA, 327 nt
Filed under: uncultured bacterium
Lineage: Bacteria
Description: bacterial SSU rRNA
Rfam family: Bacterial small subunit ribosomal RNA
Source: RNAcentral